RNAcentral lists this ribosomal RNA (448 nucleotides) under uncultured bacterium. RNAcentral's name for it is "bacterial SSU rRNA". It matches the Rfam family "Bacterial small subunit ribosomal RNA", at positions 329 to 794 of the family's 1533-position model. The record is from RNAcentral.
GACCAGACUCCUACGGGAGGCAGCAGUGGGGGAUAUUGCACAAUGGGGGAAACCCUGAUGCAGCGACGCCGCGUGAGUGAAGAAGUAUUUCGGUAUGUAAAGCUCUAUCAGCAGGGACGAAAAUGACGGUACCUGAGUAAGAAGCACCGGCUAACUCCGUGCCAGCAGCCGCGGUAAUACGGGGGGUGCAAGCGUUGUCCGGAAUCAUUGGGCGUAAAGCGUUCGUAGGCGGUAAAGUAAGUCAGAUGUUAAAGCCCGGGGCUCAACUCCGGUUCGGCAUUUGAUACUACUUGACUAGAAUGCGGUAGAGGUAAAGGGAAUUCCUGGUGUAGCGGUGAAAUGCGUAGAUAUCAGGAGGAACAUCGGUGGCGAAAGCGCUUUACUGGGCCGUUAUUGACGCUGAGGAACGAAAGCCAGGGUAGCAAACGGGAUUAGAUACCCGCGUAAC